GACGAACGCUGGCGGCGUGCUUAACACAUGCAAGUCGAACGAUGAUCUCCCGCUUGCGGGGGUGAUUAGUGGCGAACGGGUGAGUAAUACGUGAGUAACCUGCCCUUUACUCUGGGAUAAGCCUGGGAAACCGGGUCUAAUACUGGAUACUACUUCCUGCCGCCUGGUGGGGGGGGGAGAGGUUUUUACUGGUUUUGGAUGGGCUCGCGGCCUAUCAGCUUGUUGGUGGGGUAGUGGCUCACCAAGGCGACGACGGGUAGCCGGCCUGAGAGGGUGACCGGCCACACUGAGACUGAGACACGGCCCAGACUCCCACGGGAGGAAGAAGUGGGGAAUAUUGCACAAGGGGCGGAAGCCUGAUGCAGAGACGCCGCGUGAGGGAUGACGGCCUUCGGGUUGUAAACCUGUUUCAGCAGGGAAGACGCCAGAAGUGACGGUACCUGCAGAAGAAGCGCCGGCUAACUACGUG
RNAcentral lists this ribosomal RNA (469 nucleotides) under uncultured bacterium. Its description in RNAcentral is "partial 16S ribosomal RNA". It matches the Rfam family "Bacterial small subunit ribosomal RNA", at positions 28 to 507 of the family's 1533-position model. The record is from RNAcentral.